CACCUCCAUGCGUCGGGCAUCUUUGCCGUCCUGAAAAUUUCAUUGAAUAAUGCAGUCAACCACCUUACACCAACCUCUCCAACGAACUUCCAAAACUCCACCGGUAUCUCAUCCGGCCCCGUCGCCCUACCCCUUCGCAUCCUGCGGACUGCCUGUCUAACCUCGUCUACCUUAAAACGUCUACAAUAGCUAAAAUCCCGACACUCCCCUGAGUGCUC
This 218-nucleotide long non-coding RNA is filed under the name Capsicum annuum. Its description in RNAcentral is "long non-coding RNA (CANN_LNC017170)". Lineage: Eukaryota; Viridiplantae; Streptophyta; Magnoliopsida; Solanales; Solanaceae. The record is from RNAcentral.